Molecule: long non-coding RNA, 3511 nt
Organism: Sapajus apella (tufted capuchin)
Lineage: Eukaryota; Metazoa; Chordata; Mammalia; Primates; Cebidae
Exons: 2
Source: RefSeq, a predicted model, not a curated record
GCCCAGGCUAGUCUUCAACUCCUGGGCUCAAGUGAUCCUCUCAACUCAGCUUCCCAAAGUGUUGGGAUUACAGGCAUGAGCCACCACAUCCAGCCAGUGAUCCUUUAAGUGAUCAGCCUCCAUCUUUUUGUGCCCUAGCUGCUAGUUCUGAGUGUACUUGAUGCUCACCAUUUGGCUGUGUGCCCAAAGCUUGUGCCACUUCCCAUUGGUUAGCUGUGAGGCAACAGAAGCACCUGAAGAGACUGUCACACAGAUAUGCUUAGUCACACCCUGCCUGGAGAGGAGAGUCAGGAAUGAUCACACAGAAUCACAGGAGAUGAACUCAAUGACUAAUUAAAGCAGCUCUUAGAAUGGGUCUUUGGGAGCUAGAGACCCAGGCCCGCUGUGCUAACCUCCCAUUUCACUGGCCUUUGUGAUUGGACACUCAGGCCACUGUAGGAUGGUAGGAGGAGCUUGUUCCUUGGAUUUCUGAGGCUUAGGUAGUUUAGAUGGCUAUGUGAGCUGCAGAGAAUAAAUGACAUGUGGCUGAGUCCAGAUCAGGACGGAGAGACACAGAUGUAGGGAGCCUUCUUGCCCUCAUGAGCCUGUUCUUUCUGUAGCCUGGGUACUACUGCCCAUGGCACCUUCUCUAUCCAAACUCUCAGCUCCCAGUGGUACCUCUCGCCUGGCUUUAUUCCUCCUUCGGCAGUUCCUUUUAGGUGUCUUUUGAAGUUACCUUAUUGUAGAAACAUACACUUGCAAGUUAAUGUUACUAUUCUGUUGGUGUCUUACAUUUCCAUUUAGUUGUCAGAGGUUCUAUUUCUUAUCUAAGGUGUUACAUAAUGGGCCUAUGGAAAUAAACUAAGACCAUGCACAUGAGAACAGAGACUGUUUAACCAGAGUGCACUCCAGCAAGGGAGCCGGCCACCAUCACUUGCGUCUGGCAGGUGCCCAGAGGCAGGUGGAGGCAUGGGAAACUUUAGUGGAGAAAAGGAGGGUGUUGAGGAUUCUCCGAGAGGAGACUGUGGACUGGAGGAGCUGGAAGCAGACUAAUAGAAGUUGUUGUCGCAGGUGAUUGUUGAAAGGGAACAUAUUUGACUUUCUCUCCCUAAUUCAGAGUUGCAAGCAGGGGCACAAAAUAACGGAGCUGAGAGUCAAUGUCUAACCCUCAUGGGCCAGUGGCUGAGGUUGUGAAUCAGAGCUCUGGUCCAAUGCGGUCUGGCCUUUGUCUGUUUGAAUAUUCAGUCUCUCCCAAGCCACUGCUGACCCAGAACACGGAGUCUUAUAGCUCUUCAUGAAUUGUCUCUAGCAAUAUUGUUUCUUAAGCUUUUUUGGGUUGUAGACUCUAGACUCUUAAGAAUCAGAAAGCUGUAACUGCUUUGCCCAGAAAAAAACCAAAACGCAGUAGCAAGGACUCACAGACCCACUGAGGCCCAACCAGGGACCCCAGAUCUCAUUUCAUUUAUACACAUGUAACAGUUUUAUCUUCUUUUGUGACUAUGAUGCAGCAUUAUUCCAUAUGAAGUUUAGACUGUUACCUCUUUAUUAUACCUUAGAAGUAAUUGCCAAUAGUAUAUAUGCAAAUAUUUUUAAAUAGCACUACUUCAAUCCUAUACCAGAUAGGUGAUAUGCUAGGGGAGUCAGUAUUCUGUGAUACCGAUGAGUAACCUCAUUAAGCACCAAAAAGGGUACUUUUUGGGUCAUUUCAACUAAUUUUUAUUUUUAUUUAAUUUUGAUUUGUAAAGCUUUCUAAGAUCCUAUUUCCCUGUCAUCAGAAGAAGUUAACAGAGUUAUCAUGGCUUAGCUUCCUUUUUAUGAUGAACUGCAAAAACAGGAUUUUCUGAUGUUGAGAUGUUUGCCUGACUGGAUUGUCAGCUCCUUGAGGGCAGGGACUUGUGCCUGUUCUGCAGCCUCUCAGGAAAUGUUGAAAUGAACACUUCAGGGCUCUCCUCACUCAGUGUCUGCCCCAGACUGCCUACCAUGCUUUCCUUGUUCACCUUUCUGUCUUUAUUUUUUGAGCAGUAACUGUGGGCUUUCAUCUUAGUAAGCUGUCAAGUCAAACUCCCUCAAACUCUAAGAUUGUUAAAAGCAGAUGAGCCAGCCUCUUCUGGUCUGUAACCUUACAUUAAGUGUACACCUAGCCUCUUCUUUAGAGAAGGGCAUGGAUUCUGUUUUUCACCAUCUCUGAAAGCAUUUUUUUCGUUUUUGAUUCAGAUAUAUUCUGAAUAGUUGAUAAACGGAAUUCAAGUCUUUGGAUAAAAAGGUGUAUUCAUGCUUCUGUUGAAACUUUUUUUGGCUGAGUAUCAGGACACUGGGAGAACUAUAGCAGCCAUUGGGACAACAUAAAUUGGGACUGAACGCAUUUUUGAGUGCCCACCAGACGAUGUCAGGCAACAGGAAAGAAACGCGUUCUGUAUCCUCAGGGAUCUCGCAGUCACAGAGAGGACAAUAUAGCUGUGAUACUUCCUUAGAAAAGACCGAAGGGACUUAGAAGUCUCUAGUAGGGGACAGAGAAGGACACUUUUGUUUUGAAGGAGAAGUCAGCUCUCACCAGGCCCAACAGCGGGAGAGGCACCUGCUAACCGAAAGACAGAAGUGACUUGAGUAGCUCGGUGGUGGCAUGAGCACAGGUGUAGGAGAUUGAGGCUGGAGGGCUGGGGGGGGGUCUCCGGUGUUGUGAAGAGACUUGCUGGCUUAAGGAGUUAGAAUUUCAUCUGGGAGGAAGUUGGGAGCCAAGAGGAGUUUGAGGCCAAAUUAUGACCACCACACACAGGUCAGUGUGUGAUUUAGAUGCGUGCUUGGGUGAGAGCAUAGCUAGGAAGGUGCGUGUAGAUUCAGGAGGGCGUGAAGCAGAGCAGUGUUGGGCCCACCAGCCACCUGGCCCACUCCCUUGCUUCCACUUGGUCACCAUCAAAUGCCAGUUCAGCAAGGCUUCUUUAGACAACCAUGUUUAAAAUUUCCACCCACCUCCACUUCCACACAUGCUGUCCACCUUCCCUGCUUUAUUUUUUUCCUUAGCACCUAUUGUAUAACAUAUUCAUUCAUUCUGUUUUUCAGGGCAAGAUUUUUGUCCCAUUUUUUCAGGCUGUCUCUCCAGGGCUUAGAUUAGUGCUUGGCACAGCAGACUCUUUAAACAUUUGCUGAAUGAAUGACGGAAGGAAAAAGGGGGUUAGGGUUGUGCGGUAUUUCAAGGUGAAAAUGAUAGCUUGGGACGAGGAUAAACAACGCAAUCUUCAGUCAGUUAACUAAGCCCUUUAUUCUCCUGGAAGUAGUGAAAUAGAUAGUUGGGCAACUUUUGGAAAUGCAAUUUUCAUUCAAGUUAAGGAAAUAUUUGCUAAGCAAUCAGUUUGUGGAGUAAUUAUAGUAAAUUUCAGUUUCUCUCAACCCAAUGGCUGACUUAACCCCAAACAUUGCAUCAUGAGACAGAAUCACAAUAAUGAUGGCAUCUAACAUUUAUCAAGCAUGCAUCAACAUACAUGUGCCAGGCACUUCACAUAUAUGUUUUUAAUUUUUUUUUCUUUUAAAUUUUUUU